RNAcentral lists this ribosomal RNA (255 nucleotides) under uncultured bacterium. RNAcentral describes it as "partial 16S ribosomal RNA". It matches the Rfam family "Bacterial small subunit ribosomal RNA", at positions 524 to 776 of the family's 1533-position model. The record is from RNAcentral.
CACGUAGGGUGCGAGCGUUGUCCGGAAUUAUUGGGCGUAAAGAGCUCGUAGGCGGUGUGUCGCGUCGGCCGUGAAAACCUGGGGCUUAACUCUGGGCGUGCGGUCGAUACGGGCAUCACUGGAGUUCGGCAGGGGAGACUGGAAUUCCUGGUGUAGCGGUGAAAUGCGCAGAUAGUCAGGAGGAACACCGGUGGCGAAGGCGGUUCUCUGGGCCUGUACUGACACUGAGGGACGAAAGCUAGGGGAGCGAAUGGG